This 406-nucleotide unclassified non-coding RNA is filed under the name Caenorhabditis elegans. Its description in RNAcentral is "Non-coding transcript of protein-coding gene K11H3.5b". Lineage: Eukaryota; Metazoa; Nematoda; Chromadorea; Rhabditida; Rhabditidae. The record is from RNAcentral.
AUGCGGACGUUGAUGCUCAUUAUACUCUCAAUUUUAAUAUAUUUAUCGUCUGCAAAACCAGUUUUCGGUCCGAUCGGAGUCGUUGAAAAGCACAAAAUCGCCAAAAUGCUGCAGAACGAACAACGCAGCUGACUCGAAUGAAUUUUCAGCGAAACGAGAAGAAUUCGAGCGAUGCGUGAUAGAAGCACUCUUGUGUCCCCCCGGAAAAUCAUUGCAAAUGCUUGAAGAGGAACAAGCUCUUUUGGAAAAAGUCGUGGAAACUUUAAGUAACGAUAUUGAAGAGAAGGAGGAAAAGAUUGAGAAGUUGAGAAGAUCAUAUACAAAUGGAAAUGGUGCAUUAGCAAACAUUUAUGAAGACUAUCGUAGUGGUUUCAAGAGUGGAAUCGGUGCUCGUCCAGGCCGAUGA